CAUCAUAUACAUAAACAUUAAUCCCUCUAUGGGAUUUCAUCAAAGCCUCAAUGGGCAAUAUAUAUCCUGUGUUGAGUUGGUACACAUAUACAUCAUAAAAUAAGAUCAUGUACAUACCAAGGGAUUAACACAUACUAUGGUCAAGCACGACUCUAUCCUCAAUAACAUAAUUACAUAAACAUAACUGUUCAAAACUUUACAUUACAUUCUUAUCAUUUGUCAUGUCCACACUCUAGCUAUUACAUACAUAUGACUUUUCUCUUCUUUUCUUCUCUAUCAAUCCCGUACCUGCAAACCUGGGGGUUAGGGGAGAGGGGUGAGCUAAAAGCCCAGUGAGCAGAAACUAAAAACAUUAUAUUAAAAUUCAUGCUUUCAUGAAAUGCAUCAUAUCACAGACAAUUCACAUCAAGGGUGNNNNN
RNAcentral lists this long non-coding RNA (419 nucleotides) under Manihot esculenta (cassava). Its description in RNAcentral is "long non-coding RNA (MESC_LNC006032)". The record is from RNAcentral. Lineage: Eukaryota; Viridiplantae; Streptophyta; Magnoliopsida; Malpighiales; Euphorbiaceae.